Gossypium raimondii (Peruvian cotton) is the source of this 523-nucleotide long non-coding RNA. RefSeq lists it as uncharacterized. The record is from RefSeq and is a predicted model, not a curated record. The transcript is spliced from 3 exons. Lineage: Eukaryota; Viridiplantae; Streptophyta; Magnoliopsida; Malvales; Malvaceae.
GACGAAAUCAUCAUCAUCAUCUUCUUCUUCAAUUUCUUCAGUCACCGAAAAUACCAUGGUUUUUCAUGCUUAAGGUUCGGCCAAGGGUUAUGAGUGAGUAUAUCAAGAAGCAAGUCCAUCGAUCGUUAAUUAGGGAAAAGAGAAGGUAGUCAAAUAGGCGUCGUCGCGUGUCUGAAAUUUAUCGCAUCUCGGUUUGUUGGAAUCGUGACGUCGAUUGGAUAAGCUCAAGAGAUCACACAAUAUCUACUCUAUUGUUGGUAGUCAUUUUGUUCAUUUUGGGUCAGUUUGAAGUGGCAUGUAACUAGGCAUCCUUGUUUAUAUACAUAUACCUAUAGGCUUUAGUUGAUAAAUAACUUCAGUUGAAUUAGUAGCUUAUAAAUGUUAUUUUGGAUAUUUGGUUCAUGUAGUGUUUUUAUGAUGGAUAUAUGUGGUUAACAUUAAGUAUCAUAUUGAGAUGGAAAUGGUCUUUUAUGUGUAUCGGUAUGAAAGUGAUGUUUAUUGAAUAGAUGAAAAGGAUUUGGUA